UACGUAGGGUGCAAGCGUUAAUCGGAAUUACUGGGCGUAAAGAGCACGUAGGUGGUGGUUCAAGUUGGAUGUGAAAGCCCCGGGCUUAACCUGGGAAGGUCAUCCAAGACUGAGCGACUAGAGUAUAGUAGAGGGAAGUGGAAUUUCCGGUGUAGCGGUGAAAUGCGCAGAUAUCAGGAGGAACACCGGUGGCGAAGGCGGAUCUCUGGGCCGAUACUGACGCUGAGGAGCGAAAGCGUGGGGAGCGAACAGG
Molecule: ribosomal RNA, 253 nt
Filed under: uncultured bacterium
Lineage: Bacteria
Description: partial 16S ribosomal RNA
Rfam family: Bacterial small subunit ribosomal RNA
Source: RNAcentral